This is a long non-coding RNA of Passer domesticus (house sparrow), 2129 nucleotides long. RefSeq lists it as uncharacterized. Lineage: Eukaryota; Metazoa; Chordata; Aves; Passeriformes; Passeridae. The record is from RefSeq and is a predicted model, not a curated record. The transcript has 3 exons.
GUGGCAGCAAUGCCCAGCAGUGCAGCUGGGAAGACCCCAGGGAAUUGUGACUGAAAGGGUCCCCAGCAUACCACUGAAGCACACAUUGUGAGGAGAGAGCACAGAUCUGGAGCUGUGUGUGCAGAGCUGUGAUCCUAAUCGUGGAGAGAACCUGAAGAGUCCCAGGAAAAGGCAGGUAAGGCAUAAACAAUGGCAUCCUGAGCAUCAAAAGCUAAAGAAAUGAAGACAACUGGCUGGUGGGCUGACUUCAUCUGGAGGUGAGCAACAAAGGAGAAUGCUGGAAUGAUUGGCCUGACUGAGAAAUGCACAGUAAAAGUGUCAGUGCUUAUAAAGACCUUCAAUUCCCACUGUCAAGUGCAACUUUUGGUGAAUUUUAAAAUAGAUGGUACUUCUGAAAUUAUGAGUUUUGUGACUUUAUAAAUUUCUGAAAUCUCCCCACUGCUUUUAUGAUGUAGCAGUCUCUCAAUAAUUAAGGUAGUAGUCAGCUUCUCUUUAUGAACUAUUUUUCCCUUUUCUCCCCUUGAUAUAUUGUGCUCAGAAAUGGUUCUGCCAGCUUCAGCUGUAAAUCUCAAGUUGAUGACAAUGGAAGUGAUUUUAUGAAACAAAUGGCAGUGUGAAAGAUAUGAUAUUGACCAUAAAAAUGCCCACAUUGUGCUUAGAGUUCAAAUGUAACUUAGCGGAUGUAGAAAGAAGGAGUGGACAAAGUCAUAUGAUAUCAUUAUGGGGGGUUUUUUUUGUCUUAUUGGAAUGUGCAAAAAUAGUGGUAGGUCUGUGGCAAAUAUAAGAAGCUGUUGAAAGAAAAUAUCUUUCAGCUAAAAAAGCUAGGCAAUAUCAGAAGACUUGAAUAUUUGAAAUUUUGUUUUUCUCUGAUAGCUGGGCUUAAUUGUAUCUUUGGCUGGGUAGCUGUUGGAAUCCUAAGGUGCUUAAUGAAGAAGAUUCAGUCACAAGGGAGGCUGUUCAUCAUAAACAAUAAGAGGGCUGUUAUGGUCAUAAAGCUAAAAAUGGCUAGUGACUUUUCUAGUCUUUUUGUCCUCCUUGUCAUCCUCAUUUACCCAUUAAAUUCUAAUAGAAGCCUUUCUCUUUAGUCUCUUUGCUGUUAUGUGUGAUCUCAUUCCUUGAACUUUCCCAGAAAAGAACCAUAGUUCAGUUCCUAAUUGGUAAUGAGGAGUGGAGAGGAAUGUGUUCUGUUUGUCGCUGGAACAAAGCACGUUAAGGAGCUCUGGCCUAGGCAGAAGUAAAGAAACUGGAAGAGGUUCCAGCACUCUGUAGAAGCCCACAGUAAAGUCCCUUGUGCCACUGACUGUUUUGGAGAGCUGCAGCACUUGAGAGGCUGUGAAGAGAUUGGGCAGCAUCCAACUGAUAAGUGGGAUCAAGCUAAUAUACAAGGGGUUCUUGAAACCUGAAGUUUUACUUCCCUGGAAAGAGCCAGGGGUUACAGAUGGAGAAUGUCCACAUCCAGCUUCAGAGGUGAGCUAAUGUCCCCAAACUAUAAAUUUGCAAGAAAUGGUGUAUUCUUCAGUGGCAAGAGCACAGACCUCUCUAUAAUAUUGCCUGUCUUCCAGUCUGAACAAUAUUGAAGCACAGGGGAGACUUCCUGUUUGCCUUGAGAGCUCUGAGAAGUGUACUGAAUUUGUGGCUGUGGACAAAGAAUUUAGAGAUGUUGACUUGUCUGCUUCAGUUGAAAUAUUGUUUUGUGUUGUCCCAUUUCUUGCUGUCUUCUUCCUCAUAAGCUUCCUAUUGAAGUUCUGCUUUGUUUACAUUCAUCUGUUGGAUUCUCUGUAGGUAGGUAGAUAAAUAUUGCUGGUAAGUCCUACCCUGGCUGCAUGUCUAGGUUGCCAGCUUUCUAGACCAGAAGAAACUUGAGACUGUGCUUGUCAGUGAAAACAUCUAGAAAAUGCAUUUUUGUAAUGAAAAGACAUAUGAUUUACUGAUAAUAUUUCUUUGCAGUCUUUGCUGGAAGAUGGGUUAAGGUAAACGGUAAAAAUAAGUUGUGCAGAAUCUAAUUAGAGCAUUUUUAUCUUGUCCAGAAUUUGUGUAUUGUCAAGGCUUUCUCUAAUAUCAACUUUCUUUUUGAAUAGUGUAUUUGACUUUCUUUUGAAAUAGUAAUUAAAGGUUGUUUUUCAUUAUAA